Molecule: ribosomal RNA, 471 nt
Filed under: Rhizophagus intraradices
Lineage: Eukaryota; Fungi; Glomeromycota; Glomeromycetes; Glomerales; Glomeraceae
Description: eukaryotic LSU rRNA
Rfam family: Eukaryotic large subunit ribosomal RNA
Source: RNAcentral
UAAAAUGGGAGGUAAAUUUCUCCUAAGGCUAAAUAACGGCGAGAGACCGAUAGCGAACAAGUACCGUGAGGGAAAGAUGAAAAGAACUUUGAAAAGAGAGUUAAACAGUACGUGAAAUUGUUGAAAGGGAAACGAUUGAAGCCAGUCGUACCUUCGGGUAAUCAGCCUUUUGGGUGCGAUUCUGUGGAGUUUGAGGAGCUUAACACCUUCAUGCUUUGCAUAUUCGUGCUCUUGGGUGUACUUGCCCGUGUGGUUGGUUAACAUCAAUUUCGGGCACCAUAAAAUGGCUGGAGGAAUGUAGCUUCGAUCUUGUAUUGAAGUGGUAUAGCCUUCGGUAGAUGUGGUGAUCGAGAUUGAGGAUUGCAACGGAUACCUUUCGGGGCUACCUGCCUGAUCUCUGAUCGUUGCUUUGGUGCUGAAAGCGUGCUUAUAGUUAUCAAAGUCGAUGGUUAAUAGGUUAGAAUGGGUUAA